Scylla paramamosain (green mud crab) is the source of this 496-nucleotide long non-coding RNA. RefSeq lists it as uncharacterized. The record is from RefSeq and is a predicted model, not a curated record. The transcript is spliced from 2 exons. NCBI's taxonomy places the organism in Eukaryota, Metazoa, Arthropoda, Malacostraca, Decapoda, Portunidae.
AAAAAAAGUGCCGGCAGACCUGUGUGCAAGUCAAACCGACUAUCUUGUGUGGCGCUGACGGCAUGCUGUACAGCGACUGUGAGCUGGAAGCCAAGCGCUGCAACGAGCCUGACUUCCAGGCUGACGAUAACCUGAAGGCAUGCCCAGGUCAUCAUCCAGAAGGCACGAGUCAAGAAAGGUUUGCCAGGAACCUUAAAAUGACCAGCGUGGAGCAAACUGGGAUGGGCAUGAAUGGAAAAGUUCUGGAAACAAACGAUGGGCCAGUAAUAAAACCAGAAAAUUAGGAACAUGAACACCAAGAUGAACCGCAAACUACUGAACAACUAGCUGGGUUUGCGAGGCCAACCAGCGCUGAAGGAGGAAGUGAGUGCCAAUGAUCUACAGCAGUACCACAACUCUCGCCACGACGGCAGUUAACUUCUUAACUCUUCUUUGUUCCUUUGCUUUCUUUUCCUCAGGAGUGCAAUUGUCAAGCAAAUAGACGAUCAGUAAGCAU